GAUGAACGCUGGCGGCGUGCCUAAUACAUGCAAGUCGAGCGAACAGACGAGUAGCUUGCUCCUCUGACGUUAGCGGCGGAAGGGUGAGUAACACGUGGAUAACCUACCUAUAAGACUGGGAUAACUUCGGGAAACCGGAGCUAAUACCGGAUAAUAUAUUGAACCGCAUGGUUCAAUAGUGAAAGACGGUUUUGCUGUCACUUAUAGAUGUAUCCGCGCCGCAUUAGCUAGUUGGUAAGGUAACGGCUUACCAAGGCAACGAUGCGUAGCCGACCUGAGAGGGUGAUGGGCCACACUGGAACUGAGACACGGUACAGACUCCGACGGGAGGCAGCAGUAGGGAAUCGUCCGCAAUGGGCGAAAGCCUGACGGAGCAACGCAGCGUGAGUGAUGAAGGUCUUCGGAUCGUAAAACUCUGUUAUUAGGGAAGAACAAAUGUGUAAGUAACUAUGCACGUCUUGACGGUACCUAAUCAGAAAGCCACGGCUAACUACGUG
RNAcentral lists this ribosomal RNA (497 nucleotides) under uncultured bacterium. RNAcentral's name for it is "partial 16S ribosomal RNA". It matches the Rfam family "Bacterial small subunit ribosomal RNA", at positions 28 to 507 of the family's 1533-position model. The record is from RNAcentral.